Molecule: non-coding RNA, 46 nt
Organism: Schistosoma rodhaini
Lineage: Eukaryota; Metazoa; Platyhelminthes; Trematoda; Strigeidida; Schistosomatidae
Source: Rfam
GUACUGCUGAGGAGUUUCAUAAUAGGACGAAACAGCCGUCCAGUGC